This 104-nucleotide ribosomal RNA is filed under the name Vicugna pacos (alpaca). Lineage: Eukaryota; Metazoa; Chordata; Mammalia; Artiodactyla; Camelidae. The record is from RNAcentral.
AGGAAUCUAACCACCCUGAACGUGCCUGAGCUUCUCCAGAGCUAAGCAGGGUUGGGCCUGGGGAGUACUUGGAUGGGGGGAAAGAUCUGAGUUGACAGUUCUUU